GUUACUCUGAAAGGGGUAUGGAUUCCUAUCAUUCCAAUCACUAGAAAUGAAAUUUCCAGUGUUGUUAUUUCUUGUCACUACCUCCCUGAAUCAGGAUUGGGUAAUUUGCGCGCCUGCUGCCUUCCUUAGAUGUGGUAGCCGUUUCUCAGGCUCCCUCUCCGGAAUCGAACCCUAAUUCCCCGUUACCCGUCACUGCCACGGUAGUCCAAUACAGUACUGUCGAAAGCUGAUAGGUCAGAAACUUGAAUGAUCCGUCGCAGACCGAAGUCAACGCGAUCCGUUCGGUUACUAUGAAUCACCUGAGGACCACCGGAAGGUGGGUUGGUUCUGUAUCUAAUAAACACUGCCCUUCCAGGGGAAGAGGCAUGUGCGCAUGUAUUAGCCAUAGAAUUACCACGGUUAUCCAUGUAGUAAAGACCAUCAAAUAAACUAUAACUGUUUUAAUGAGCCAUUCGCAGUUUAGCCGUAUAAAAGCUUAUACUUAGACAUGCAUGGCUUAAUCUUUAAGACAAGCAUAUGA
This 520-nucleotide ribosomal RNA is filed under the name Toxoplasma gondii ME49. RNAcentral describes it as "Toxoplasma gondii rRNA TGME49_459690". Lineage: Eukaryota; Apicomplexa; Conoidasida; Eucoccidiorida; Sarcocystidae. The record is from RNAcentral.